CGGUCUAUGACGUGCCAGAUGGCGGGGUAAUAGUGCGAGAGGGGCCGGUUGACGGAAGUGUGUGGCAUAGAGGGCUCGUAGGCGGCCCGGUAGGGCCGUUGUGGAAGUCAAAGGCUGAACCGUGGGAGGCAGAUGGAGACGGCGGGGCUAGAGUGCGGAAGAGGCGCGGCGAAGUCCUUGUGUAGCGGUGGAUUGUGCAGAUAUCAGGAGGAACACCAAUAGCGAAGGCAGCACGCUGGGACGGUACUGACGCUAAGGCGUGAAAGCGUGGGGAGCGAACAGGAUUAGAUACCCCGUAGUC
Molecule: ribosomal RNA, 301 nt
Filed under: uncultured Lactobacillus sp.
Lineage: Bacteria; Bacillati; Bacillota; Bacilli; Lactobacillales; Lactobacillaceae
Description: bacterial SSU rRNA
Rfam family: Bacterial small subunit ribosomal RNA (bases 64-301)
Source: RNAcentral